UCUCCCGGUCUCGCGUCGUUACUCCUGCGUGAAGCGGUGAGUCGCGCGCGGGUCGGCGACUCACUCUGGGGGUCUCCACCGCUGAACCCUCCUGAAAGACUGACUGGCGGAAACUGGGACUGGAGUGUGAGCAUCUGAGGGGCUCUCCAGUGGGGCUUGGAGAGGAAUGUCUCAAAUGACUUUUCUUGAAAGCUGAGGGAGGUUUUGAAGAUCAAGUGAAGGAAGAGGGCCUAGCUCGUCUGCUGGUGGCAUCUUCUCAUCAAUCAUGUCAUCAAUUGCUAGAAAUAUGAGAACUCUCCAGAAGAUCAAGUACCGUGUAGUAGUUACCAUGCACAGGCCCCAUAGAGCCCUGGCCUUUGAGAAUGCCCUAUUCCCCAACCCAAAAGAAGGUCCCAUGUGACAAAGUUUGGAUUAGACAUUACAAAUGGCUUCCAAUGGACUACUUGCCAGACUUUGUCAUGGGAACCAUCUGACGAGCAGAACAAAGUGCAAGUGCAUAAGCAACUUCCAAUGAGAACCUAUGUAUGGGCUUGGCCCAGGUAUCUUGAAACCCUGGGAAGACCUAAAUAUAAACAAAAUUUUGCAAAGGAGAAGGGAAUCGUGAACAAAUCACCUUUCUAUAAGACACCACAAACGAUGACUGGAGAUCUGAAUUGGAAAUGCCACUGCAGCCCUGUGACCCAAGGCUCUGGAAUGGAUCAGCCCUCCUACUCACUCCCUCCUGCACACACCGCGUCUCCAUGGAAACAGCUUGUCAGGCCCUGUUUGGCUGCAGGUUCUGAAGACCUCUCAUCAGCAGCCCCAGUCCUGCACAGAUUCAGUCUUAAUAAGCCAGGCUUCUAAGGAGGAACUUGUACUAGGAGGCCCAUCCUCUCUAGCUGGUGAGGUCUGGAAUUGUCCUUAAGUCUCCUUUGGGGUAUACCUGGGGAGUCCUGAAUGUCACUGAGUUGCCCUGACCUUCCAACACUGAUAUUCAGGUCAAUGGCAGGGUUUCCAUCCUAGGUUCCUGCUUCAACCUGAACUCAUCAUCUCCUUCCAGCAAGCCUUCUGCUCCCAUCAUCUCUCCCCACCCACCAAAGGUGAAAGUCAUUCUGAGCUCUACAGGCCCCACCUGUGGCUAAUCACCAAGAGUCUUCUGUUGUCGGGCAUCAUUCAUCCAUCAGAUCGGAUCAGGCAUUUGCUACACUGCCAGGACACUGCGACUUGGACUGCUGGCCACUGUCCUUGGGGGUACAUCUACAAAUGGGCAGUAAUGGAGAGAACUUAAAGGCAUUAAACAUCAUAGAUGAGGGUGGAAGUACACGUUUUCUGUUUCUUUAAGCUAGACAAAAACCUAACAGUCUGAAUUGGAAUACUAUCACUCAUAACUUCUACUAUAUAAAUUAAUAAUUUUAACAAGUAUAACGUUCUAGUGGACAUGAGACAGUUAAUGUAGAGACCAAGGAACAACUGGGUCAUUUGCCUCAGUACUGAGGUAGUUUCUUAAUUGGACGUGUUAGGAGUGGUAGAAGAUCUCGUCUGCUGACAACUUAGAAAGUUGCAGUUGAGGAGGCAAAAGGAAAACAGAAAUCAUAAGCACUUUUACACAUAUGAAGUUGUUAAUAGGCAGCUUCUAACUCUAUGUAUGUUCGUGUUACUAAAACCUAGAACAGCACUCAAAGUACUUGUAAGUGCUCAACAACUGUUUGUUUAACCAAAACCAAACUAAAAGCAAAACAAAAUGAAACAAACAAAACUGGUACUUGUUAACAUCAGUCAGCUAUGUCCUACUCUAGGUUCAAUAAUACUAUCAGAUUAAUAUAAACUCUGAAACCAAAGUAAUCAUGUCCUAUGAUUGUAUAGCAUCAUCCCACAUGUAUUUCCUUUUCAUACUCAACAGUUCUAUACUCAACAUAUACUCAGUAUGUAGUCUUUAUUGCCUCCAUUUACAGGUAAAGGAACCAUGUCAUAACAGGUAAAGGGGCUUGCUCAGAUAAGCAAGAAAAUUAAUGUUAACCUAGAGUCUAAGAUUCUUAACUCCAAAAUGAAUAGACAAAAUUAAAAGACAAAAAAAAUCCUUUAUUAGGG
Molecule: long non-coding RNA, 2067 nt
Organism: Balaenoptera ricei (Rice's whale)
Lineage: Eukaryota; Metazoa; Chordata; Mammalia; Artiodactyla; Balaenopteridae
Exons: 8
Source: RefSeq, a predicted model, not a curated record